CACCGCGGUUAUACGAGAGGCUCAAGUUGACAGACAACGGCGUAAAGAGUGGUUAAGGAGAAUCUUCAAACUAAAGCCGAACAUCCUCAAAGCUGUUUAACGCUUCCGAGUUAAGAAGCCCCAUUACGAAAGUAGCUUUACCUUUCCUGACCCCACGAAAGCUGUGGAA
This 169-nucleotide ribosomal RNA is filed under the name Amblyglyphidodon leucogaster (yellowbelly damselfish). RNAcentral's name for it is "partial 12S rRNA". The record is from RNAcentral. Lineage: Eukaryota; Metazoa; Chordata; Actinopteri; Pomacentridae.